GAGAUAUUAGUAAAAUAAUUACAUAACUUUGUCAAAGUUAAAUUACAGUCCAACACUGUAUAUCUUA
RNAcentral lists this transfer RNA (67 nucleotides) under Nannospalax ehrenbergi (Ehrenberg's mole-rat). RNAcentral describes it as "transfer RNA-Asp". The record is from RNAcentral. Lineage: Eukaryota; Metazoa; Chordata; Mammalia; Rodentia; Spalacidae.